GACGAACGCUGGCGGCGUGCUUAACACAUGCAAGUCGAACGGUGAAGCCGGAGCUUGCUCUGGUGAAUUAGUGGCGAACGGGUGAGUAACACGUGAGUAACCUGCCCUUGACUCUGGGAUAACUGCUAGAAAUGGUAGCUAAUACCGGAUACGACCCUCGGAGGCAUCUCCAGGGGGUGGAAAGAAUUUCGGUCAAGGAUGGCCUCGCGGCCUAUCAGCUAGUUGGUGAGGUAACGGCUCACCAAGGCGACGACGGGUAGCCGGCCUGAGAGGGUGACCGGCCACACUGGGACUGAGACACGGCCCAGACUCCUACGGGAGGCAGCAGUGGGGAAUAUUGCACAAUGGGCGCAAGCCUGAUGCAGCAACGCCGCGUGAGGGAUGACGGCCUUCGGGUUGUAAACCUCUUUUAGUAGGGAAGAAGCGAAAGUGACGGUACCUGCAGAAAAAGCACCGGCUAACUACGUGCCAGCAGCCGCCGCAG
This 484-nucleotide ribosomal RNA is filed under the name uncultured bacterium. Its description in RNAcentral is "partial 16S ribosomal RNA". It matches the Rfam family "Bacterial small subunit ribosomal RNA", at positions 28 to 523 of the family's 1533-position model. The record is from RNAcentral.